Molecule: ribosomal RNA, 253 nt
Filed under: uncultured bacterium
Lineage: Bacteria
Description: partial 16S ribosomal RNA
Rfam family: Bacterial small subunit ribosomal RNA
Source: RNAcentral
UACGGAGGGUGCAAGCGUUAUCCGGAUUUACUGGGUUUAAAGGGUGCGUAGGUGGAUUUGUAAGUCAGUGGUGAAAUCUCCGAGCUUAACUCGGAAACUGCCAUUGAUACUAUAAGUCUUGAAUUAUCUGGAGGUGAGCGGAAUAUGUCAUGUAGCGGUGAAAUGCGUAGAGAUGACGUAGAACACCAAUGGCGAAGGCAGCUCACUACGGAGAUAUUGACACUGAGGCACGAAAGCGUGGGGAUCAAACAGG